This 973-nucleotide long non-coding RNA is filed under the name Malus domestica (apple). RNAcentral describes it as "long non-coding RNA (MDOM_LNC021007)". Lineage: Eukaryota; Viridiplantae; Streptophyta; Magnoliopsida; Rosales; Rosaceae. The record is from RNAcentral.
GGACAUCUUAAACGUACCUAUAUUUAUUUUUCAUGAAAAUUAGACAAUUAUUUUUUGAUAAAAAUAAGAGAACCUAAAUAAUAAAGUUAUUCUACAGAAGAAUUAAAUACAAAGUAAAGAAAAUGAUUGUAAAAAUUUAAGUAAUUAUACAAAUAAUAUGGAAUAAUAAAACCUAAUAUUAAUGAAUAAUAAUUCAAUUUAAUGAAUAAUAAUCCAAUUUGAUAAUAAUCCAAUUUAAUGAAUAAUCCACCAAUUUGAUAAAAAAAUAAUCCUAAUAUAAAACAUGGUGAUGAAUAAUAAUCCAAUUUGAUAAUAAUCCAAUUUAAUGAAUAAUCCACCAAUUUGAUAAAAAAAAAAACCCUAAUAUAAAACAUGGUGAUGAAUAAUAAUCCAAUUUAAUGAAUAAUAAUCCAAUUUGAUAAUAAUCCAAUUUAAUGAAUAAUCCACCAAUUUGAUAAAAAAAUAAUCCUAAUAUAAAACAUGGUGAUGAAUAAUAAUCCAAUUUGAUAAUAAUAAUCCAAUUUAAUGAAUAAUCCACCAAUUUGAUAAAAAAAUAAUCCUAAUAUAAAACAUGGUGAUUAAUAAUAAUCCAAUUUAAUGAAUAAUAAUCCAAUUUAAUGAAUAAUCCACCAAUUUGAUAAAAAAAUUUCCUUAUAUAAAAGAAUAAUAAUCCAAUUUGAUAAUAAAAAAACCUAAUAUUAAUGAAUAAUAAUCCAAUUUGAUAAUAAAAAAAUCUAAUAUUAAAGAAUAAUAAUCCAAUUUGAUAAUAAAAAAAACCUAAUAUUAAUGAAUAAUAAUCCAAUUUGAUAAUGAAAAUGGUAAGGGAAAUAAAAUAAUAAAUAAUAUUAAACAUAUUAAAAUUAUCCUAGGGAAUAAUUAUACAACAUUACUUAAUUACUUAAAAAAAUUAACAUUAACAUUACUUAAUUACUUACAAAAAUUAACAUGCAAGUAUUAAUUACUUAAAAAGAUU